AUAUUUCAAUUUUGGUGCUUAAAAAAAAAAAGUUUGGAAUAUAUAUUGCCUUGGGAAAAUGCUAUUAGCAAUGACUGAGUGGCAGAUGUAGAUGCUUACUAAGAUCUAACUCAAUGCAUCCUCUCUAUUGCAUGCAUUAUGUAUUUUCGCCUUUCUAAUUCAUAUAGCAGCUGACUUUUUUGCAUUAAGGCUAAGGAUUAUUGCAAGCUGAAUAAAAUCGGUGGAGUAUAAACACAUAUCCAAAGAUGAAAAGGAGAAAUCUGUUUUCAAAAAACAAAAAAGUGCAUGUUGUUCCUCCUGGAUGUCAGCUGGUUGAUCGCAUCAUGUGAAGUGGAUAACAUCAUUAAAAGGGAAAUGAACAAAUUCAUGAGAUGCAAAUGGAUAAAUCUUGCCAUGAAUGCAGGCCUUUAAAAGUAUCUGCUGAGGAGUGGGAAAAUAACAAAACUGUGCUUAUGAGAUUCAUGGAGAGGACGGGAAUGGUUCCGACUCAGGCUAAGCAAGGGGCUUCUUAGAAAUGCGGUGUAUGACAAAUCUGCUGCCACGUGGCUGACCUGGCAAAGGUGUCUGCCUGGGGGGAAGAGCCAAGGCAACCUGUAGCUCUUGGCAACGUCUUCAGCCUGAGCAGGACGUGCUCACGAUGUUCAACUACUGGGCUGGGGGCGUCAGUGAACGUGCUGUGGGAGACGCUUCAAGUGGAACAAACCUUCGCACGUUGCGCCUUGUAUUUUAAUGGUAGGGAUAAAGAGGAUGGAAGCAUAGCUGAUAUUUAGUGAGACUUUUCACUCUAACUGCCUUCUGUUUUGUAGGCUGCUGACUUAAGAGAUCCGAAGUAGUUCAGUUGUGUUUAGGUUUCACUUGCAUGACUGAGUAGGAGGUAGAUUUUACUAAUUGUUUUUAGUCAGAAUAAUGAGGAAUUUUUCUGUUGCUGUGACUCGUGCAGUGAUAUAACUUCUUUGGCAUCAGAUUUAUGUGUUUUUCUAAAAAGAAAUCUAUUAGAAACACUAUGAGUAGUAGCUAAUUGGACAUUUCGUAAAGAUUUUGCUUGCUGGCAGAUGGAUGAUAUGACACAUGUAAUGUAUAUGCAGUAUUGCCAACUGUAGGCAUUAAAAUCAUGAGUCAGACCGUUAAAAGUCUUGAGAGUGAUUAAGAAAAUGUGAAGAUUGUCUCCUGUUUUUUGAGCCCCUCGGGUAACGUGAGUCAAGCUUGCAACAAGAAUUGCUCGAGACUUUAGAAAGGAAAGCUGAGUUUUUUGGCUAAUCACAUCUUUUAGAGUUGGGAGUUCUAGGGAAGGGAAAAAAAAAGGCACAAAACCUUGCAAGACUGGCAAUAAAAUGAUGAUUUGGCAAUGCUCUAAUAGAGCA
This 1361-nucleotide long non-coding RNA is filed under the name Anas platyrhynchos platyrhynchos (common mallard). RNAcentral's name for it is "lncRNA (ENSAPLG00000026888.1)". Lineage: Eukaryota; Metazoa; Chordata; Aves; Anseriformes; Anatidae. The record is from RNAcentral.